ACAAAGAAAUCAUCUCAACUACUUACAACCUGCUGAUUUUGAUAAAGGUUCCCUAGUGUAUGUUGGAGAAAAUAUAGGCUCCAUUGUAAGGAAUUCUGCUAAAACUGGAUACCCACAGGUAGAAGGUUGAAACUAGGAAAAUCCAACUCAAAAUGAGCACAGGUACAUUUCAAACGUUCCAAUCUUACCCACUGGGACAGAUAACUUGCUACAAGGUGGAGAGCAAAGAGGGUGAAUGCUUCCUUCAGCAAAAAAGAGACCCUGACAGGAGUGUUGCUACAAUUAUGUUUUAAAAUUCAUCCAUCGGAAUGCAGUUCAAAAUUGAAAUGAUGGACAAUUACUCGACAGAGAGAAUCACACAUACAUUUGUCAGCCUUCAUUACAGCAUCUUCCGCAAUUUCUUUGUCUCAGUCAAUAUUAUAGUAUUUGCCAUCUUGAAGAGACACCACUUGAAAUGACAUCUAGUCAAGUCUAUGAUACAAUUGAUCUUUCAAUUAUUAACAGUCUGGGAUGCAGCUGGAUUUCAAGUUGGAAAAAGUCUUGGAUUGACAACUUCCACGUGUAAAACUGGCUGUUUUGUGAACAGAUGGGAAAACAAGGAUUUUCGGAGAAAGCACAGAGACUAAUAUAGACACCAGGUUAUUGAUAGAAGUGGAG
Peromyscus maniculatus bairdii (prairie deer mouse) is the source of this 657-nucleotide long non-coding RNA. RefSeq lists it as uncharacterized. Lineage: Eukaryota; Metazoa; Chordata; Mammalia; Rodentia; Cricetidae. The record is from RefSeq and is a predicted model, not a curated record.